Molecule: long non-coding RNA, 201 nt
Filed under: Lathyrus oleraceus (garden pea)
Lineage: Eukaryota; Viridiplantae; Streptophyta; Magnoliopsida; Fabales; Fabaceae
Description: Pisum sativum (pea) long non-coding RNA (PSAT_LNC025422)
Source: RNAcentral
AGUUGGGGAGAGUAAAGUGAAAAGUUGAUUAGAAACUUGGAAAAGUGAGUUUUUAUGGAAGGGUAAAAAUAUGAAAAGAAACAAGAAAAAGAAAUCACCCUUGAAACCAUAGAGCAAAGAAAAAAAAAGAAAAAAAAAGAAAAAAAAAAGAAAGCAAUGAAAAUGCUCAUGGUUGUGUGGAUUUGAAAAGAAAAAGAAAAA